GACGAACGCUGGCGGCGUGCUUAACACAUGCAAGUCGAACGGAAAGGCCCAGCUUGCUGGGUACUCGAGUGGCGAACGGGUGAGUAACACGUGGGUGAUCGGCCCUGCACCCUGGGAUAAGCCUGGGAAACUGGGUCUAAUACCGGAUAUGACCGACUGUCGCAUUGUGGUUGGUGGAAAGCUUUUGCGGUGUGGGAUGGGCCCGCGGCCUAUCAGCUUGUUGGUGGGGUAAUGGCCUACCAAGGCGACGACGGGUAGCCGACCUGAGAGGGUGAUCGGCCACACUGGGACUGGGAAGCGGCCCAGAGUGCUACGGGAGGCAGCAGUGGGGAAUAGAGCACGAUGGGCGCAAGCCUGAUGCAGCGACGCCGCGUGAGGGAUGACGGCCUUCGGGUUGUAAACCUCUUUCACCAGGGACGAAGCGUGAGUGACGGUACCUGGAGAAGAAGCACCGGCCAACUACGUG
This 466-nucleotide ribosomal RNA is filed under the name uncultured bacterium. Its description in RNAcentral is "partial 16S ribosomal RNA". It matches the Rfam family "Bacterial small subunit ribosomal RNA", at positions 28 to 507 of the family's 1533-position model. The record is from RNAcentral.